Molecule: non-coding RNA, 265 nt
Organism: Peptoniphilus lacrimalis 315-B
Lineage: Bacteria; Bacillati; Bacillota; Tissierellia; Tissierellales; Peptoniphilaceae
Rfam family: Bacterial large signal recognition particle RNA
About the family: The signal recognition particle (SRP) is a universally conserved ribonucleoprotein involved in the co-translational targeting of proteins to membranes. Archaeal SRP consists of a 7S RNA and homologues of the eukaryotic SRP19 and SRP54 proteins. In most bacteria, the SRP consists of a 4.5S RNA and the Ffh protein (a homologue of the eukaryotic SRP54 protein).
Source: Rfam
CCAUGCUAGACGGGAAAUUAGCGAUGUCCUGAACCUGCAAUUCGCUACAGCAGGGUCGAAUUCCCUAUCUCGGUUUUUUGCUAUGCAGUCUGCCCUGAAAAAGUGGUGUUGAGAAUCGGGUCCUACGCAACGAAAACUUAUGAACCGUGUCAGGCCUUGAUCGGAGCAGCACUAAGUAAGACCUUUCGUGUGCCGUAUGGAGUGCCUUAUUUGAGCUAACUGUUCAGGUACCGUGUGGAGCAGAUCAUCAAAAUAGGGUGCAUGG